This 837-nucleotide ribosomal RNA is filed under the name uncultured bacterium. Its description in RNAcentral is "bacterial SSU rRNA". It matches the Rfam family "Bacterial small subunit ribosomal RNA", at positions 56 to 940 of the family's 1533-position model. The record is from RNAcentral.
UGCAGUCGACGAACCUUUCGGGUUAGUGGCGGACGGGUGAGUAACGCGUGCAUAAAUUGCCCUCAGGAGGGGGAUAACAGUUGGAAACGACUGCUAACACCCCAUAUGCCGAGAGGUGAAAUGAAUUUUGCCUGGGGAUGAGCUCGCGUCUGAUUAGCUUGUUGGUGGGGUAAAAGCCUACCAAGGCUUCGAUCAGUAGCUGGUCUGAGAGGACGAUCAGCCACACUGGGACUGAGAUACGGCCCAGACUCCUACGGGAGGCAGCAGUGGGGAAUUUUCCGCAAUGGGCGCAAGCCUGACGGAGCAACGCCGCGUGAGGGAUGAAGGCCUUUGGGCUGUAAACCUCUUUUCUCAAGGAAGAAGAUCUGACGGUACUUGAGGAAUAAGCCACGGCUAAUUCCGUGCCAGCAGCCGCGGUAAUACGGGAGUGGCGGGCGUUAUCCGGAAUUAUUGGGCGUAAAGCGUCCGCAGGCGGCCGUUUAAGUCUGUUGUUAAAUCGUGGAGCUCAACUCCAUCACGGCAAUGGAAACUGUUCGGCUUGAGUAUGGUAGGGGCAGAGGGAAUUUCCGGUGUAGCGGUGAAAUGCGUAGAUAUCGGGAAGAACACCAGUGGCAAAAGCGCUCUGCUGGGCCAUUACUGACGCUCAUGGACGAAAGCCAGGGGAGCGAAAGGGAUUAGAUACCCCUGUAGUCCUGGCCGUAAACGAUGAACACUAGAUGUUGGGGGAAUCGACCCCUCCGGUGUCGUAGCUAACGCGUUAAGUGUUCCGGCCUGGGGAGUACGCACGCAAGUGUGAACUCAAAGGAAUGACGGGGGCCCGCACAAGCGGUGGAUAUG